GGGUCGGUAGCUCAGUCGGUAGAGCACGGGACUGAAAAUCCCGGUGUCGACAGUUCGAUUCUGUCCUGACCCACCA
This 76-nucleotide transfer RNA is filed under the name Deltaproteobacteria bacterium. RNAcentral describes it as "tRNA-Phe". It matches the Rfam family "tRNA". Rfam says of the family: Transfer RNA (tRNA) molecules are approximately 80 nucleotides in length. Their secondary structure includes four short double-helical elements and three loops (D, anti-codon, and T loops). Further hydrogen bonds mediate the characteristic L-shaped molecular structure. tRNAs have two regions of fundamental functional importance: the anti-codon, which is responsible for specific mRNA codon recognition, and the 3' end, to which the tRNAs corresponding amino acid is attached (by aminoacyl-tRNA synthetases). tRNAs cope with the degeneracy of the genetic code in two manners: having more than one tRNA (with a specific anti-codon) for a particular amino acid; and 'wobble' base-pairing, i.e. permitting non-standard base-pairing at the 3rd anti-codon position. Lineage: Bacteria; Pseudomonadati; Myxococcota; Myxococcia. RNAcentral also lists the same sequence under 2 other names. The record is from RNAcentral.